This 442-nucleotide ribosomal RNA is filed under the name uncultured bacterium. RNAcentral describes it as "bacterial SSU rRNA". It matches the Rfam family "Bacterial small subunit ribosomal RNA", at positions 355 to 786 of the family's 1533-position model. The record is from RNAcentral.
UGGGGAAUCUUGCGCAAUGCGCGAAAGCGUGACGCAGCAACGCCGCGUGCGGGAAGACGGCCUUCGGGUUGUGAAUCCGCAUUUCAGUUGGGACGAAGCCUUUGCGGUUAAUAGCCGUGGAAGGUGACGGUACCUUCAGAAGAAGCCACGGCUAACUACGUGCCAGCAGCCGCGGUAAUACGUAGGGCGCAAGCGUUGUCCGGAAUUAUUGGGCGUAAAGAGCUCGUAGGCGGUCUGUCGCGUCGGAUGUGAAAGCCCGGGGCUUAACCCCGGGUCUGCAUUCGAUACGGGCAGACUAGAGUGUGGUAGGGGAAGAUCGGAAUUCCUGGUGUAGCGGUGAAAUGCGCAGAUAUCAGGAGGAACACCGGUGGCGAAGGCGGAUCUCUGGGCCAUUACUGACGCUGAGGAGCGAAAGCGUGGGGAGCGAACAGGAUUAGAUACC